RNAcentral lists this ribosomal RNA (483 nucleotides) under uncultured bacterium. RNAcentral's name for it is "partial 16S ribosomal RNA". It matches the Rfam family "Bacterial small subunit ribosomal RNA", at positions 30 to 507 of the family's 1533-position model. The record is from RNAcentral.
AUUGAACGCUGGCGGCAGGCCUAACACAUGCAAGUCGAGCGGAUGAAGGGAGCUUGCUUCUGGAUUCAGCGGCGGACGGGUGAGUAAUGCCUAGGAAUCUGCCUGGUAGUGGGGGAUAACGUCCGGAAACGGGCGCUAAUACCGCAUACGUCCUGAGCGAGAAAGUGGGGAUCUUCGGUCCUCACGCUAUCAGAUGAGCCUAGGUCGGAUUAGCUCGUUGGUGGGGUAAAGGCCUACCAAGGCGACGAUCCGUAACUGGUCUGAGAGGAUGAUCAGUCACACUGGAACUGAGACACGGUCAAGACUCCUACGGGAGGCAGCAGUGGGGAAUAUUGGACAAUGGGCGAAAGCCUGAUCCAGCCAUGCCGCGUGUGUGAAGAAGGUCUUCGGAUUGUAAAGCACUUUAAGUUGGGAGGAAGGGCAGUAAGGUAAUAACUUGCUGUUUUGACGGUACCAACAGAAUAAGCAACGGCUAACUUCGUG